This is a non-coding RNA of Zootermopsis nevadensis, 684 nucleotides long. NCBI's taxonomy places the organism in Eukaryota, Metazoa, Arthropoda, Insecta, Blattodea, Termopsidae. The record is from RefSeq and is a predicted model, not a curated record.
UAUUGAAUGAUGUCAGACAUUGUGUGAAUCUGUGCGAGUAUGAUUACGCAGUCCACAAUGGUAAUUGCACGUGGAUCCGGUUGAGGUAUUGGAGGCAGGAAUAAUAUUUGUCCAGUCACAUAUCAUCUAGUAGUUUAAUAUUUUGUUUGAAGAGCAGUUAAAAACCUGUUGAUGUUGUGAACUACAUUCUAUCACGGCAGGGUUCCGUACAGACUGUGUGAAGAGAUUCUCAUGGAUGAUGGCUGCUAGUGCGGGUGUUGUGUUUCAGUAUGUGUAGAAUUUCGGUGUAUUUCUGAAAAAACUGAAUGAGGGACAUCUGAGGGCGUGUGGAAUGUAUACACAUAAUGAAAAAUGGGAAUAAUUGUCUGACCGUCUGUCUUCCGGAAUUAUUUGUCUCCGAAAGUACUGAACGGAUUUCGACAAUGUCUGAUAUUGGAGUUCCGCACUGAAAAUUGUCAAAUACAUUUUUGUUUUGGUCUGUUAUAACCCCUACGCCACAGAAUUAAUUAAAACUAACACUGUGGCAACUGAACUCGAAGAUUUAACUUAACACAAAAGGCUGCCAUUAAUCAUGAUCUUGAACAAGUCUCACAAGACAUGUCCCUAAAAUCUGCCUAAAUGUUAUCCUUUCUGUCUCUUAAAUGGAUGUUUUCGAAGACGUUUGCCAUUAAAAUUUUGUGCUUA